UGGGGAAUAUUGCACAAUGGGCGCAAGCCUGAUGCAGCCAUGCCGCGUGUAUGAAGAAGGCCUUCGGGUUGUAAAGUACUUUCAGUCGGGAGGAAGGUGGUAAGGUUAAUAACCUUAUCAUUUGACGUUACCGACAGAAGAAGCACCGGCUAACUCCGUGCCAGCAGCCGCGGUAAUACGGAGGGUGCAAGCGUUAAUCGGAAUUACUGGGCGUAAAGCGCACGCAGGCGGUUGAUUGAGUCAGAUGUGAAAUCCCCGGGCUUAACCCGGGAAUUGCAUCUGAUACUGGUCAGCUAGAGUCUUGUAGAGGGGGGUAGAAUUCCAUGUGUAGCGGUGAAAUGCGUAGAGAUGUGGAGGAAUACCGGUGGCGAAGGCGGCCCCCUGGACAAAGACUGACGCUCAGGUGCGAAAGCGUGGGGAGCAAACAGG
RNAcentral lists this ribosomal RNA (429 nucleotides) under Chloroflexota bacterium. Its description in RNAcentral is "Chloroflexi bacterium partial 16S ribosomal RNA". It matches the Rfam family "Bacterial small subunit ribosomal RNA", at positions 355 to 776 of the family's 1533-position model. The record is from RNAcentral. Lineage: Bacteria; Bacillati; Chloroflexota.